CAAAAUUCAGAAUAAUUGGAUCAAAUUUUCUUUCAAUUCUUUUCUGUGGUUGCAUAAUUAAGGACCAAUUACGACGAUGAAAUACGGAAGUGAAUGAUGAAGGAGAGAACUGGAGCGUGAAACAGAGACAUCUGUUCUUUCUUAGAUGAGUUUUGUUGAAGAGAAACAGAAUAUUGGUGACAGAUGAACCUACGGCUUCCACUGAUUCAGCCACUGAUGCUAUCUUUUUGAGGACUAUGCUAUUUGGGGUAGUGAAACAAAGGGCAUCCAUGACUUUCACCAAGAUGUUGGCAGAAACGAACCAGCCAUGCCUUGCUCUUUUGCUCAUAUGCUGAGUAUGCUGAUGUCGAUACAGGUCCCCAAAAUAAUAUGUUUUCUACAGAACAGUGUUUCAGCCUAGAGAUCACAGUUACUCACAUAUAAGCAUCUCGAGGGUUUGAUUGUAGUCAAAAGAUCACAGUCACUAUCUUCAUAUUUCGCAAUGACUUCUUGGUUGCAUUCAUCUUCUGUUUAAGUUGCUGCUUUCGAUCUCUUGAUUCUCCCAUGUGUUAUACUAAGUGUUUCAUAAUCUGGAAUCUCCUUGUAGUGCAGAGACAAGAGUAUUUUUUUUUUUUUUAUCAGGUUCUCAAACAAGGUGAUGUAUGCAACUGUGUACUUUUCUGCUUUCGAUCUUAUGAUUCU
Eutrema salsugineum is the source of this 681-nucleotide long non-coding RNA. RefSeq lists it as uncharacterized. The transcript has 4 exons. Lineage: Eukaryota; Viridiplantae; Streptophyta; Magnoliopsida; Brassicales; Brassicaceae. The record is from RefSeq and is a predicted model, not a curated record.